GGACUACUCGGGUUUCUAAUCCCGUUCGCUCCCCUAGCUUUCGCACAUGAGCGUCAGUGACUUGCCAGGACGCUGCCUUCGCCUUUGGUGUUCUUCCAGAUCUCUACGCAUUUCACCGCUCCACCUGGAAUUCCGCGUCCCUCUCAAGCCCUCAAGUCCAGCAGUUUUUCAAGGCCUGUGGGAGUUAAGCCCCCACCUGUCACUCAAAACUUACUUGACCGCCUGCGUGCGCUUUACGCCCAAUAAAUCCGGACAACGCUUGCCCCCUACGUAUUACCGCGGCUGCUGGCAC
This 292-nucleotide ribosomal RNA is filed under the name uncultured bacterium. Its description in RNAcentral is "partial 16S ribosomal RNA". The record is from RNAcentral.